RNAcentral lists this transfer RNA (67 nucleotides) under Slackia isoflavoniconvertens. It matches the Rfam family "tRNA". Rfam says of the family: Transfer RNA (tRNA) molecules are approximately 80 nucleotides in length. The record is from RNAcentral. Lineage: Bacteria; Bacillati; Actinomycetota; Coriobacteriia; Eggerthellales; Eggerthellaceae. RNAcentral also lists the same sequence under 4 other names.
CGGGUGUGGUUCAAUGGUAGAACUGAAGCCUUCCAAGCUUCUAACGCGGGUUCGAUUCCCGUCACCC